AAGUCGUAACAAGGUUUCUGUAGGUGAACCUGCAGAAGGAUCAUUGUUGUAAAACUUAGCAGUCUCCGAGAUACGUUCACUCGUUCUCAGAGCUGCGAUCCACAAACCAAUACACACCUGUGCACACACAAAACACAUCUCAAACGCAAAGUAAAUCAAAGAAUGUAAACAAAAAAUCCUUCGAAGGAAGGUGAAAGUUAAAUACAACUUUCGGCAACGGAUCUCUAGGCUCUCC
Molecule: unclassified non-coding RNA, 235 nt
Filed under: Thecaphora schwarzmaniana
Lineage: Eukaryota; Fungi; Basidiomycota; Ustilaginomycetes; Urocystidales; Glomosporiaceae
Description: partial internal transcribed spacer region
Rfam family: Eukaryotic small subunit ribosomal RNA (bases 1-46)
Source: RNAcentral